UCCCUGGAGGCUCAGAUGGUAAAGAAUCUGCCUGCAAUGCAGGAGACCCAGGUUUGAUCCCUGGGUUGGGAA
Ovis aries (sheep) is the source of this 72-nucleotide transfer RNA. It matches the Rfam family "tRNA". Rfam says of the family: Transfer RNA (tRNA) molecules are approximately 80 nucleotides in length. Their secondary structure includes four short double-helical elements and three loops (D, anti-codon, and T loops). Further hydrogen bonds mediate the characteristic L-shaped molecular structure. tRNAs have two regions of fundamental functional importance: the anti-codon, which is responsible for specific mRNA codon recognition, and the 3' end, to which the tRNAs corresponding amino acid is attached (by aminoacyl-tRNA synthetases). tRNAs cope with the degeneracy of the genetic code in two manners: having more than one tRNA (with a specific anti-codon) for a particular amino acid; and 'wobble' base-pairing, i.e. permitting non-standard base-pairing at the 3rd anti-codon position. The record is from Rfam. NCBI's taxonomy places the organism in Eukaryota, Metazoa, Chordata, Mammalia, Artiodactyla, Bovidae.